CUAUCUACCCAACAGGGGAUAGACUGAGAUCAGUAAUGCAGCCUUCCUGGGUAAGGAUAUUCUUUGCUUUCCAGGUAUGCUGACUCCUGUGAUUUCCCCAAAUGUGGAGAAGCUGAGUGCAUAAUUUGCAGUGAAAGACUGUAUUUAUACCUUUAA
Small nuclear RNA from Egretta garzetta (little egret), 156 nucleotides. RefSeq annotates it as U1 spliceosomal RNA. NCBI's taxonomy places the organism in Eukaryota, Metazoa, Chordata, Aves, Pelecaniformes, Ardeidae. The transcript has a single exon. The record is from RefSeq and is a predicted model, not a curated record.